Molecule: unclassified non-coding RNA, 355 nt
Filed under: soil metagenome
Description: partial contains 5.8S ribosomal RNA, internal transcribed spacer 2, and large subunit ribosomal RNA
Rfam family: 5.8S ribosomal RNA (bases 1-120)
Source: RNAcentral
GAUGAAGAACGCAGCGAAAUGCGAUAAGUAGUGUGAAUUGCAGAAUUCAGUGAAUCAUCGAAUCUUUGAACGCACAUUGCGGCCAUAGGUAUUCUAGUGGGCAUGCCUGUUCGAGCGUCAUUAAGUCCACUUAAGCCCUGCUUAGUGUUGGGAGACUGCUCCAGCGGUGCUACCCUGUAGCUACCCUGCAGCUCCUCAAAGACAGCGGCGGAGUUGUGGUAUCCUCUGAGCUUAGUAACUUGUUCUAGCUUUCGAGUACACCACUUCCCCUGCCGUAAAACCCUUAAUUUUUAAUGGUUGACCUCGGAUCAGGUAGGAAUACCCGCUGAACUUAAGCAUAUCAAUAAGCGGAGGA